This 272-nucleotide ribosomal RNA is filed under the name uncultured bacterium. RNAcentral describes it as "partial 16S ribosomal RNA". It matches the Rfam family "Bacterial small subunit ribosomal RNA", at positions 335 to 600 of the family's 1533-position model. The record is from RNAcentral.
ACUCCUACGGGAGGCAGCAGUGGGAAUCUUGGACAAUGGGGGAACCCUAGAUCCAGCCAUGCCGCGUGAGCGAUGAAGGCCUUAGGGUUGUAAAGCACUUUCAGUGGGGAGGAAAGGUUGUUGGUUAAUACCUAACAGCUGUGACGUUACCCACAGAAGAAGCACCGGCUAACUCCGUGCCAGCAGCCGCGGUAAUACGGAGGGUGCAAGCGUUAAUCGGAAUUACUGGGCGUAAAGCGUGCGCAGGCGGUCUGUUAAGCGAGAUGUGAAAG